This is a long non-coding RNA of Mus musculus (house mouse), 402 nucleotides long. RefSeq annotates it as predicted gene, 51973. The transcript is spliced from 2 exons. NCBI's taxonomy places the organism in Eukaryota, Metazoa, Chordata, Mammalia, Rodentia, Muridae. The record is from RefSeq and is a predicted model, not a curated record.
AGCUUUUCAUCCAUUUAUUUUCCCAUGAACAUUCUUCCAGCUGGAAACUUACCAAUUUUUGUCAGCUUUCAGAGCUGAUUUUACAUUGGCGUCAUGAAGCACAGGAACGGAGUCUCUCCCCUCCGGCUGAUGGGAUGUACUGGUCCAGAUGCCUCUCUCGAAUUUCUUCUCUCCAUUGCCUUUUCUCCCUCCAAGUCAAAGUUUGCAUCAUCAAAUCAUAUUCGUUCCCAACACUCGGCCUUUAUGAAACUUAAGUGUUACCUGAAACUCUACCAAAACUAGGAUUUCACUGAAGCUGACAUUAUUUGUUUUGAGAAGAAAAGUAGUCACAGAUGGCAGACCUACAACUGGUACCAAACUUCUAAACCUGAUAUCAUAGGUCAAUAAAGAACUGUGUGUGUG